GGGGCUGAUUUGGGUUAGACAGCAAGGUAAAUGGAUGUGCAAGCAUGCCGAGCCACGCAAUAACGCUCGUAAAACAGGAUUGUACAACAAUAACUGGCGAAACCAAUUUUGCGCUCGCUGCCUAAACUCUGAAUGGGUGAGGGCUUAAUCCCGGCACAAGGUGCCGGGACGGGCUAUCUCCCGGAAACCCUGCCCGGCGGUGUCCGAUCCGGAGGUACCAGGAAAGCCAGGGCUGGCCGGAAUAUUGUCCCGUCAUUCCGGUAAGAUCAAAGGGGCUAAGGAGCAGGUAGGCCGUCUGUUGUCAGCCUGUUCCCGACAAUCAAUAACAGACUAAGCAUGUAGAAACCACUUCUGUUUCUUGUCUGGACCGGGGUUCAACUCCCCGCAGCUCCACAA
This 396-nucleotide transfer-messenger RNA is filed under the name Bacteroidales. Its description in RNAcentral is "JAADHC01 sp013152085 Standard tmRNA". It matches the Rfam family "transfer-messenger RNA". Rfam says of the family: Bacterial tmRNA, also known as 10Sa RNA or SsrA, is named for its dual tRNA and mRNA-like properties. Its role is to liberate the mRNA from a stalled ribosome. The record is from RNAcentral. RNAcentral also lists the same sequence under 1 other name. Lineage: Bacteria; Pseudomonadati; Bacteroidota; Bacteroidia.